UGCGGUGAUCCGGACAGUUCAAAAAAAGAAGAAACCAAGUGUCUUUCAGCAGCGCAUGAUAUCCAUCGACCGUGCGUUGAAGAGUUUGGUCUAUGGAUCUUUCAAGGUGACAGUUGUGUAUGUGGCUGCUGCUACUGCUUUCUCUGGCAGUGGGCUAGAAGCGUAGCCCAGGCCGUUACCAAGGAAAACGUGUGAAGACGAGGUGGAAAAAUGAGAACCAAAGAUGGCCGCCCAGCUUGUUUUAUGUUUAAUUAUGACCCCUGCAGUUUGGCUAGCUAGCACUAUGCUAUCGUACGCUGUGAUAUUGUGUGACAUGGUAUCAUGUUAUUAUAUCUCUACCUAUCUAUCUAUUCGAGUAGAUUCUGCAUGAAACUGUAGCUUGAAGUGAACAUGCUUGCAAGGUCACUGACGUGCAUUGUUGGGCUCCUGUUUAGUGCUUCUGGAUCGAAGUGAUUGCAAUCUACUCAGAAGUGCUCACUUUCA
Molecule: long non-coding RNA, 483 nt
Organism: Triticum aestivum (bread wheat)
Lineage: Eukaryota; Viridiplantae; Streptophyta; Magnoliopsida; Poales; Poaceae
Exons: 2
Source: RefSeq, a predicted model, not a curated record